CUGACAGAAGAGAGUGAGCACACGCACACAAUUGUAUACAGUGUAUACCUUUGUGUUUUAUAUUAUUUGCGUGUGCUCACUUCUCUUUCUGUCAG
MicroRNA precursor from Nicotiana attenuata, 95 nucleotides. It matches the Rfam family "mir-156 microRNA precursor family". Rfam says of the family: This family represents the plant microRNA (miRNA) precursor mir-156. Animal miRNAs are transcribed as ~70nt precursors and subsequently processed by the Dicer enzyme to give a ~22nt product. NCBI's taxonomy places the organism in Eukaryota, Viridiplantae, Streptophyta, Magnoliopsida, Solanales, Solanaceae. The record is from Rfam.